This is a non-coding RNA of Dermatophagoides farinae (American house dust mite), 778 nucleotides long. The record is from RefSeq and is a predicted model, not a curated record. Lineage: Eukaryota; Metazoa; Arthropoda; Arachnida; Sarcoptiformes; Pyroglyphidae.
UUUCAAGCCAAUCACAAUCAUUUCAAUCAACAAUCAUCAUCAUCACCAUCAUCAUCAUCAUCAUUUGUCAAAUAUAAUUCUACCACAUACACUCACAAACACAACAAAUGUUUUGAUGGGAAAAAAGGCAAGACAACAGAAAGUGAAAAAAAUGAACCGAAUUUCCAUUGAUAUCUUGCGAUACAUAUCUAAUGAUGGGCAGUUCCAGUUGAUACCUUUUCACUUUAACAACAACAACGACAACAAAUGGAUUCGAAGAUUGAAACAAUACAAAAAAAAAUCAAAUCACUCUACGAAACAGUAACAACAACUAAGAUAUGGUCACUUCCGAGUGAGGAAAAUAUUAAAAAAUUCAUCAUUACAUUUAUUAUUCAAAAUUGUAUUGAUUUGUAUUCUGAAUGUUGGACAUUGGGAAAUUUUCAAUUUUAAAAAAUUUUUCUUCAUUUUUUUUCACCAAGAUUUUUAUCUAAUACGUCACUUAUCUAUAAUGCAAAGAUUCGAAAAAAAAAUUUUUAAAAAUUUGUGGACAAAUGAAAAUGACGAUGACGAUGAUGAAGAUGGAGAAAUAUGUGCUAAAAUUAAAUCCAAUUCUUCAAAAAAUGAAUGCAGUAAACACAUUUUAAAUCCCGUUUUUUUUUUUUUGCUGACCUGAAACUGAAAUACACAACAACUUAUCUUUAUUAUUAUGGGCUACCACUUUCAUGGUCUGAAUUUUAAAUGAAAUGAAAAAUGAAUUGGUAACAUUUUCAAUUUCGAUUUCAUCAUCAUCAUCAUCAAC